CAGUAGAAUUUAACUACUUAAUCAUUUAUGUGCUAUCUUCUAUUACGAGGGGAAUGAACUCUUUGGUGCAUCACACUUGGACACCUGAGGAUAAGGGACCGAAAUAAAAAAAGAUAGCAGCCCAAGAUUCAUCUCCUCUUUGUCCACUGGCCCCCACGGUCGUGUGCUUGAUGCCAGCCCGGAUGCUGCUGGCCUCACCUGGGUGCCUUCGCCUUGCUGGAGAGAAAGGUUGUGCAGAGCGGCCCCUUCAUCAGAACUGCAAGGGGACAAACAUCAAGAAACUGUAAGGAAGGAAGAUGGCCGCAGUUGUCUCUGCUCAGUCUGGGAGCACCACUCCCUGCAUGUGUCCUGACCUGACCUCCGUGCAGUGGCUGACCAGCACUGAACCCACCAAGUGUGCUCACACCAGGGCAUCAUCUGCUUCUGCUGAGUCUGUGCUGAUUCUCUGAAAACAGUGUGAUCAGACAUGAGGAUUGAUAGUGAUAUAAGGAUUCUACUGACCAUUUAAAAUCUGACCAUUCUAAUACAACAGAAAGUAUACUACUCCUUAACCAUUUGCCUUGUUAUGUAGGAGUCUGAGUAUCACAUAAUGAAAAGUUCCCGCGAAUUUCAUGUUACUGAAAUGGAAAGUAAAAUGUCUGUGGUGAGAUAGCCAUGUGAAAACGAAGCAUUUUUGCCUGUAACUUAAAGAUAAUUGUGUAGUUUUUCCACCUUUGUAAAACAAGAAAGUUUUCCAGGCAGGAAGCGUGGGCAGCCUUGUGUCUCAGUCUCCAGGGAGGGUCGUUUACUCAGAAAGCAGGGAAUGGUGCUUCUGGUGUUUCUUUUACAAAGCUUCAGACUGUGGUAGGUUGGACACCUGGGGGCUGUUGCAGAGACACGCUGAGUUAGUUUGCUGUUUUAGCAGUGCUGCCCAGCACAGGCCAUCUGCAGCGCCCACAGUGCACAAGAUAUUGUAGUUACUAUUCUUGCCUAGUUAGCUUUUCCACUUGUACUACGUAGGUCUCAGAAGUUCCACACAGCAAUUCUUCUUGGCCUACUGGCCAAUUUCCCCAGAAAUUCAGACCUUUUUAGAUUUUAACAACGAAUGACUGAGACUAUCCAAGUCUAGAAAUAGUGUUUCCCUGCAGCCACCAAGCCCAAGAUAACUAACCCGUGUUAACUAAGCCUCAGUCAGCACCAUGAGGAUGGUGCAAAGCCAUCUCACUCUACAUGAGUCCAGAAGCAAGAGUACAGCCUGUGGUGAGGGAGAAGGGAAGCUCCCCAAAAGUUAGUUACUAGUUAGAAGUACCUUCUCCAUUUCUAAACAGGGGUUGUGCUUAAGGCUUCCAGAAUGCAUUCAUUUUCCCCAUUCUAUCGCUUUAUGAUUGUAACCAGACUUCUGGCAUAUUUAUCCGGCAUGAUGUAAGACAAGAAUUGCUGACUCAUCCUCAAGUACAUCUAAUAAUGCCUUGUAUCGCUUCCUCUGAGAGGUCUUGCAAAACUGUUAGGUCUUUUAUUUAUUUAUUUAUUUUAUUUAUUUAUUUUUGAGCUAUGUUACUCGUAGAUAAGAACACACUGUAAGAAAUGUAUGCAGUCCAACUGAACUGAAUAAUUUGUAUCUAUAUUAUUCCUUACAUUUUUAGUUGGUAACACUGUGUGCAGGCAUCAAUAUAUCACCAUUAAAUUGUUUGAAACUUGACUAAUGAAAACAGUAUAACACACUGAUGUCUUGCAGGGUUAGUGAGAAUGAUUAGAAAUGCAUUUUUUUAUUAACAGGCCUUUUAAUGAAGAGAAUUAGAAGUCCAAAUGAAGAAAUCUUUCUCUGAAUAUAUCUUUAUUAAUUCAGUACGACAUUUGCUUGCUGUGUUUUCCAGAGAUGAAGGUCACUGGAAUUUAUAAUAGCAGUGCACGGCCUCAAGAAACGUUGCACACAUUCAGAAGCUACAAAAACAAAAUUUGCAGCUGCCCUCAACAUCUUGUUUGGCACUAGGCCCCAAAUACAGUCUGCACCUUGAAACUUAGUCCAUGAAAGCUCCUGAGAACCCUGAUAAAAUGCUGCUGAGAGGGUAGCUCCUCCAGAUUCCUCUUUUCUGAUGUCAAAUUUGUUUGUGAAUACAAAAUUACCCUCAGCCAGUAAGUGAUACAUUGAAAAUGCACAUAUCCAGAAGACACAGGCAGUGUUCUGUGGUUUGGAGCUGCAUGGAUGUGGAGGUGCAUGGCCAGUGGAAAGAAGAAUGCGGAUCUGUAUUUCAAUUUCUUUUCGCAUUUAAAAGGAUUUAUACUUGCCAGAAAAUGCAGUGUUUAUUCAUAUCAUCUUCUGGUGCUUCAGUUUCCAAGCUCUGUUACUUACCUGACCUACGUCCUCAGCAUCUGAAUGGGGAAUGUCAACCAGACAGCAGGUGGAACUUCAGAAAGAAAUAUGAAAACCGGUUUGAAGUUACAGCUUUCUGCUAAAGAGCCAGUUAUUGGCCCGGGCCUCUUCCGUUUAGAUAAGAAAAACAUUUAGAUUUUGCCUCAGCUAAACAAAUAAAAUGAAACCUUACAUUCCUUUAUAACUCUGAAUUUGAACCGGUACUCUAAGUUAACGCCCAAGCAAUUUAAGUCAAGUUGUCAUUUCAUUACUGAAAACAAUCUCAGUGAGCAAAGCAGAACUGGAAAAGAACUCGUUAUCAGUGGAGAGAGAAGAAACCUAUGUAUUCCUCUUCAAAGAAGUCUUGCUCUUAUCAGCCUAUCAGGCUGCACUUGCUGUGAUUCCAAAGAGACCGGUUCCUCUGUUCUCUGAAAUCCUCUGUUCAGAAAAUGUAUUCCUCCAUCUGUCCACAUAGUCCCACUGAAUUAAGAAACAGUGGGAGCACAAAUUUCUUGUUUGCCUCUUAUGGCAAAACGAGAACAAUUGACUGGGAAUCAGGGCAAGGAUCUAAAGGUGCUGAGAUGUGUUUCAGUCUUCUGUAGACGCAGUGGUUUUGCAUUGAGAUUUGUGCUAUUUGCCAAGUUCAGGCACUAAUCAAAGCACAGAAAAUAGCAGAAAACAAAGAAGCCAAACGUGACUCUACUUCUCAGACAACUGGAAAUCUUUGGAAAGGCCAAAGGCACAGAAAAGGCAGUAAAAGUGCAGUGAAGGUCGUGAACUCUCUGACAAAAACAGCAAUUUCUUUAUUGUAAGACAAUUUCUAGGACUGCAACUCUGCACAAAAUGAAGAGAAAUAGUGUAACCUAAAACCAAAAACAUUAAUACACAUUUCCUGAUUAUAUUAAUAUAAAGAUUCUACAUAAUUUCAGAUGAGGAAGGAACUUUUCAGAACACAUUUAGGAGGCUUUUUUCUACAAAACUUUUUUUCCUGGGAGAAGUAUUUAUUUUUUUCUUGUUUUCAUAUUUCCUUCCACGGAGAUAUGUUACCUCUGGUGCUAUUCUGUGUGUUUCUCUCCAGACACCGGUUGUGUUCCCACUGCCUCACGAUAUGCUGGGGCCCUGGCGGAGUUUGUUUCCAGUGCCAUCCCUUCAGUCUUCCAAAAUCCUGAGCUUAAGCUACCAAAAUUUGCAGUGGGUUUUUGCAGAGCAGUUCUGCCAGCUCAAUCACAACCUCUUGAAAGAAAACGUUGCAUGAAGCUGCCCUGUCCUUAGGCCCUCAGCAAGGAAACUCUGCAGUCCAGAGGGGCUGUUUAAGGUUUCUCUGGUCCCCGGCUGUGUCACAGUUUGCUCCUUUUGGGCAUGACUGAGCAAUGCCAAGUCACCAUAAGCUGACAUGGAACAAGUACUUUGCAGCCAAGCAAAUAAAAUAUCUGUACUCAUCAAGUUUCAGUUGACUUACUUUUAUUUCUCUGAAACUUUUGUCAAAACCAUCCCAAAUAACGGGUUCUUUAUCUUAUUUUGUUAUCUUUAGAAUAAAAAUGGACUGCAGCACACUUCAUACUGUAAACAGUGACUCUGAGUGGCCUUACUCCAGCAGCAGCUGAACAAAUAUUUCUAAUAUGGACAACUCCUCUUUCUCAGAUGGACAGACCGCAUAUUUUUAUAACUCCCUGUCAGUUCUCAUGUCUAAUGUGGUCAGCUUGUGGAGGGAAGCUCCCAGAAAGGAAAGAAUUCAAACAUCACAGCUACCUUUUCAGUAGCCUUAACCAGAAUGUACCUUCCUAGGAGCAUCCCCAGAGGACCCAUUCUGAACUCUCCAAGUUAAGGUCAAUAGGCUGCCGACAGCUAAGAGAGCUUCAAGAA
This is a non-coding RNA of Meleagris gallopavo (turkey), 4192 nucleotides long. The record is from RefSeq and is a predicted model, not a curated record. NCBI's taxonomy places the organism in Eukaryota, Metazoa, Chordata, Aves, Galliformes, Phasianidae.